RNAcentral lists this ribosomal RNA (941 nucleotides) under uncultured bacterium. RNAcentral describes it as "bacterial SSU rRNA". It matches the Rfam family "Bacterial small subunit ribosomal RNA", at positions 9 to 873 of the family's 1533-position model. The record is from RNAcentral.
AGAGUUUGAUCAUGGCUCAGAAUCAACGCUAGCGGCGUGCCUCAGACAUGCAAGUCGAACGCGAACGCUUCCUUCGGGAAGCUAUUAGAGUGGCGCACGGGUGAGUAACACGUAAGUAAUCUACCUUUGGGUGGGGAAUAACAGUCGGAAACGGCUGCUAAUACCGCAUAAUGCAGCGGCUCCGUAUGGAGACAGUUGUUAAAGAAUUUAUUCGCCUAAAGAGGAGCUUGCGGUAGAUUAGCUAGUUGGUGAGGUAAUGGCUCACCAAGGCAACGAUCUAUAGCCGACCUGAGAGGGUGGUCGGUCACACUGACACUGAAUAACGGGUCAGACUCCUACGGGAGGCAGCAGUCGGGAAUUUUGGGCAAUGGGCGAAAGCCUGACCCAGCAACGCCGCGUGAAGGAUGAAGUAUUUCGGUAUGUAAACUUCGUAAAAAUGGGAAGAAUCAAUGACGGUACCAUUUGUAAGGUCCGGCUAACUACGUGCCAGCAGCCGCGGUAAUACGUAGGGACCAAGCGUUGUUCGGAUUUACUGGGCGUAAAGGGUGCGUAGGUGGUUUAUCAAGUCAGUUGUGAAAUCUUAAGGCUUAACCUUAAGCGGUCAACUGAAACUGAUAAACUAGAGUGCAGAAGGGGCAAUCGGAAUUCUUGGUGUAGCGGUGAAAUGCGUAGAUAUCAAGAGGAACACCAGAGGCGAAGGCGGAUUGCUAGGCUGACACUGACACUGAGGCAACGAAAAGCUAGGGGACGCGAACGGGGAUUAGAUACCCCGGUAGUCCUAGCCCUAAACCGAUGAAUACUUGGGUGUCUGGGCAGGUUUUAAUUUCUCCCGGGGUGACCGGUAACUUAAACGUUGUUAAAGUAUUCCGCCUGGGCGGAAGUAACGUAAACGACAAAGUUAUUGGAAACUUCCAAAGGGAACUUGGACGGGGGAACCCGGA